AUCACUUCUCGGCCUUUUGGCUAAGAUCAAGUGUUGAAAUACCCUCAUAUAUGUGAACUCCUAGAAGAUUGAAACUAUACUUUAUUCAUUUUUAUUCAUUUUUGUAUCAGUUAGGCCUAGUAUUGUGUCUGGCACAUGUUAAUAGAAAUGUUGUAAUUCCAGAUAGUUACAUAAUCAUCUCCCCCACA
Small nuclear RNA from Oryctolagus cuniculus (rabbit), 188 nucleotides. Its record names the gene U2. It matches the Rfam family "U2 spliceosomal RNA". Rfam says of the family: U2 is a small nuclear RNA (snRNA) component of the spliceosome (involved in pre-mRNA splicing). Complementary binding between U2 snRNA (in an area lying towards the 5' end but 3' to hairpin I) and the branchpoint sequence (BPS) of the intron results the bulging out of an unpaired adenosine, on the BPS, which initiates a nucleophilic attack at the intronic 5' splice site, thus starting the first of two transesterification reactions that mediate splicing. The record is from Ensembl. Lineage: Eukaryota; Metazoa; Chordata; Mammalia; Lagomorpha; Leporidae.